UGCGCCCGCUCGGUCCGCGCCCGGCGCUCGCGCGGUAGGGAGGCAAGAUGGCGGCGCCCAGCAGCGCGCCCCUUCCCUGCCCGGAGCCCGGCGCUGCUCCCUACGGCAACUUCCCCAACUACUCCCGCUUCCACCCGCCCGAGGCCCGCGUCAGCCUCCUGCCCGACGGCCUCUUGCGGCGGCUCUUCCCCGCGGCCGCUCGCCCGCUGCUGGGCCUCGACGUGGGCUGCAAUUCGGGGGAGCUAAGUGUGGCUCUGUACAGGCAUCUGCUCGGCCUUCAGGACAAAAGCAGCCUGGACCAGCCUGCAGCUGGGAAGGAUCUGCACCUUCUGUGCUGUGACAUUGAUGCAGCGCUGAUUGAGAGAGCUCGGCAGAGCAGCCCCUUCCCUGCCUCCAUAUCCUUUGCCAACCUGGACAUCAUGGACUCGGCUUCCAGGGAGCCGUUCCUCAGCUCCUACCUGGGCCGUUUUGGCCGUUCCACCUUUGACAUUGGCUUUUGCAUGUCUGUCACCAUGUGGAUCCACCUGCACCAUGGGGAUAGCGGCCUGAGGGAGUUCCUGGCCUUCCUCUCCUCGCUGUGCGAGUACCUGCUGAUCGAGCCGCAGCCCUGGAAGUGCUACAGGGCUGCUGCCCGCCGCCUGCGGAAGCUGGGCAGGAACGAUUUCGAUCACUUCCGAUCUCUUGCUAUCAACGGGGACAUGGCGGAGAGGAUAACGCAGAUCCUGACGAAGGACUGUGCGAUGGAGCUGGUGUGCUGCUUCGGGAGCACCAGCUGGGACAGAAGCCUCUUGCUUUUUAAAUCAAACGGCUCAAACCAAGAGGGCAGGGAGCCCUCGGGGUCGUAAGUGACCGACAAAUGGCCUCUCGUGUUCCUGAGCUCUCAGGCCAGGAGGCGUGCAGUGGGCACAGAGACAGCUGCAGGAAUUCCUCCAUCCCGAUCGGGGUCAGACCUUGACCUCCCCAGGGAGUUUGAGGCAGCUUGCUGCUUCUGCUCUGCAGGAAGCUGUCACAAGAUGAGACAGGUGGGACCCAGCUCCAUGACACAGCAGCAGAAGAAAGCCUGUGGAUCUCAGCUGCAGAACUUAUGUGUUCGUGUGCCUCUCUCCCACUGUCCAAGCACAAAGAAGCCCAGCUCACCUGCUUUCCUCCCCUUCCACGAGCUUCCUGUAAGUGAGGAUCUCCAAGUCCAGGGCCAGCUUGAUGUUCAUCAGCUCCUGGUACUCCUUCACCAGGUAUCCUCAGCAUUUAGUCUUCAGAACCUGAGAGGCUUCUCAAGGGAGAAAGCUUUGCUUGUGUAAAAUCGAGAAAACGGGACUGGCAUCAGAACUUAUCUUAAGUGUAAGCAUGAUUAGUGAAGAAACAGAAGACCUGGCAAAGCAAUUCAUGGAAAACAGUGCCCACAGACCAGAAGGUAACAAAAACCGUACGGGACAGGGUGGAGUCCUAAUGGCUAAAUAUCCAGCAAGGGAACCAACCCUGCAGGUGUUUAAAAACAGGUUUGAUAUGGCAGGACCAGGAUGGCAAAGACUUAGUCUGGGGCAAACGCAUUUCCUGAAGGCUGGCACCAGGCACGAGAGGCUAGUUUAGGGAACACACCAGUCCUCGUUGGCUCUUGUGGCAAGUGUGUGGCUUGCCCCGAUGCUGCUGAGAGCAGCAAUCUAAGCAGGAAACCACAGGGUCUCUUUUGGGCCUGAUCUGUGACCAGCAGUGGGUUGUUUGUUUGCCAUGCAUGAGUCCAGAAGCAUUCUGUGAUGGGUGUCUGGUAUCUCCCGCUGUGCUGCAGGACACACUAGGGGUGUGUUGGCUAUUCUGCUGAGAGCGGAGCAGGCCGUGCUCCCAGGGAGGCCCUGGCUUCCCUGCGCUUCCAGGACACCUCAGGCUCCUCUUGCCCUAAUGUGCUCAUAGCGUUUCCAGGCUGGGAAUUAAACCUUUGAGUGCUACUUGCAGAUGUCACCAAAUUGGAGGGCUAAGAUCUUUGCAAAUGAGGUAAAAUGGUAUUUCCUAACAGAGGAGUGAUAAUAAAAUCAGGAAUGACAGCCAUAUUCUGUUGUUUGACGGUCGGGUGCAUCAUCACUCUGGCUACAAGCUCUGCUCUGCUGCUGAACAAACUUUUACCAGAAAGAGGAAGAAGCAUUGGGAAUGCAGCACAGGGGACUGCUUUGCAGGGCAAGGGGGUGAGUCGUGCCUGGGAGCUGACCUGGAAUAUUGAAAACAGUUCCCUGGAGCCAUUGCUUCCUCCACAGAGGAGAUAGCGAGGGCACAGGAGGGAUCUGAUUGUCGCAGGCUCUACAGUUGGGCACUUCUAAGGCUCCCCUUUUGUAUCCCCAUGGUGUUAAACUCACCCUUUCCUUGCCUGCUUUUAUAGGGCCAGGCAGCGUGGCUAACAAGAUUUACCUGUCUGGUUUUUCUGCUCUUCAGCUGGAAUGUUAGCCAUGCUGCCAGUAACUAUGUACCGAGCUUAAUUACAGCCUGCCACUCUUCCUUCAUCCUCAUGGCAUCUCAGCCCAAUCCCAGUCUGUCCCAGCCUGCUGAAGCAGCUUCGCACAUUGCCGGGCGCUGACAUAAUCCUGCGUGUGGAACAAACAACGCUCCUGCCUGAAAGGGAGCAGGCCAAGCAAGCCAAACAUGCUCACCGCACGGCUCCGGAGGGACGUGGCGGCCGGGAGGUGACUCACAUGGGGAUGGAGCCUUCCACAAACACAUUACAGCAUUUAUCUCCUUAAAGGUAAUCCUCAAGCAAUCAUGCAUUAAGGCACAAAUCCAUCCUAUCUCACUUCAUGCACUUAAGCCGCACUUGAGACAGGCGUCUGGUCGCCUUGGGCUCCUUCCAUAAUCAGUGAAGCAAAAUCAGAGCUGAACUGCAUUUCAGGCAGGCUACGUUCCUCUCUGGACACACCUCCAAGACUACCUUAGGGUGAAGAUACAGUGGUGGGAUAGAUCUGAGCCUGGUGGCAUGGAAUUAAGUCAGUCGCUCUUGUGGAGCAAGGAAAGGGGGGAGGGAGCCACUGAAAACCAGCUGCAGAGGCAGAGGUACAUUGGCUGACCAAUCUCCAGGGGGAAGGCUUGAUUGUCACAAUACCUGGGUCUCAGUAAUGGCCCCUCCAAAGGCUGGCAACCCCAUAUUUUCCUGCAGUGUUCUCCUAGUCCCACCCCAGAGUUGCUCGGCACAUGCAAAAAUUCCCUGCCUUCUCAUUCAAAUGGCUCUUUGCAUGUGCAAAUCACGCGUGGGGAGCUGAAGCAAAAGCUUCACUCCUGGGCAGUCCUACUCGAAUAUGUUUUGGUAUUUGAUUUUUAGCUUGAUUUCCUAAAGAAGCAGGGUUUGAGACCCUGUGUCAGCCUUCGAUUUAUUCUGUUGUCCCUUCUCCAUCCCCUCACUUUGGAACAGUGACAACGGAGAAUUGAUGCUGGUCAACGUUACCCUAAGGAAGCUGGAGAAGGUGAAAACGUCCCAGCUAGCUAAGUUUCCUGUGUGUCUUUUGGAAAGCAAUCCCUUAACAGAAAAGACAGACAAAUCAAGGCCUUCCCGAGGAGCACUGACAGGCAGAUUCACUUAGGAUCUCUUGGGCAGCAGCCUGCCUGGGCACCACUGCGUGCAUGGCUUUCUGGAGUGCCACAGCAGGGACGAGCAGAUGCCCAAUUAAAAUUGCUAGUGGAGUUACUACCUUCUGCUUCCCCAAAAAUAUUUCCCUUGGGAAAAGAAACCUCUGCAAGAGCUGGAAGCCUCCAAAAUUUGCAUGGUUUAAGUAGACCAUUCGCUCCAGAAAAACAACUGGGCUGAGGCAGUUGUCUUGCAGGAUUCAACAGAGCCAGUGUGGGUUAGGACGGGGUUGGAUUGCUGCCUGGAGAAAGCUCAGCAGAAGCAGCACUUCUCUCCCCGUGAAUCACCAGUGGCCGGGAGCAGCUCAGCGGAUUGUCACUGUCGCAGAAAUCCACCGGCGCUGGCUUCGGGGGUUAGCAGCACCCAAUGACAGGGUGGGUUUUGCUUACUUGCUGCUUAGGCCACCCUGGCAGGGCUUGUGCCUUGCAGCUCACAAAUAGAAAGCGGAGUGGGAGGGCUCUGUAAGUGAAGGAAGAGCGCUCGGAGGAGCAGUGUCAUUUCCGAAGGCUAUUUUCCUGUGGCUGUGUAGUCCCACAAAGCGGGAACUUUUCCCAAGACCAAUAGUUGUACCAUAAACUGCUCAUAAACUGGUGCCCAGUGUGGAUUCCCUGCUGUCUGAUCCCGUGCAGGUUUACACGCUAUGUCCUUACCCCCUGUGUGCGUUGGGUUGGGAGGUGGUCCUGUUCCUCUAGCUGGUCGUGGGCUUUGAAUUUCUAGCAGUAAAGCAUAUCUGUCUUGUCUACCCGUUUGUCCAACUAGGUUGAAACUGUCCAAGAUCAGAAAUUAGGAGGGAAACACACAGCCAGCCAGUUUGCCUAAGCACCUUUAUCCCUAAGAAACUGGGCUGAGAAAUAAAUGCAGACAUUCAUUUAAAUUCAUAAAAAUAAAUUGCCAGACAUGGGCAAUUAAUGAGGUAAUUACUGAGAACAAAUGAGGGUACAAGCUGUGAGAGCAGAUACGUGUGACUGAUCUGAUGUUUCUCUACCAGCCUGACCGUUUUCCCAUCUGGGUUUUCCUGACUGUCGCAGAAUAAAACAAGGAGUAUCUCUUGUAACAGCAUGGCCACAGAGCCAUUGCUUCCCAGGGGAUGUACAGGGAGGAACAAGUGCCCCAGAGAGGUCUUGAGGUCUUAUUCCCUUUCCUAAAACAUUUAAAUGGCACAAUCCCUCUUAUGGCUUGAAUCCAAGUUCAGGCUGGCUACCUGUCAGCAAAGCAAGCAGCAGCGAUUCCAAGUCUGUUAGUGAAACCAGCAUCCAAAUGAAUUACGGGCACCCACCACGAGGAACUCGGGGAUCUGUAGGCAUCUGUACAUAAGUGCAUCAGUUCUGGAAAGAUGCUCAGCAUCAUGAUUUCAGCAUAAGGUCAAGAGCCAAUCUCUCAGCUCCUCUUCCUGCUCUGCCACCAGCUCGCCCCAUGCAGCUGCUGUCUCCCCGUUACCCCGUCCGUAAAGCGGAGGUAUCAGUCCUUCCCCUAAUUUGCAGACACGUUGAGCAGCUGGUUUAAUCAAGGUCUGCAGGGAGCUUUAAGAUCCUUGGGCUAAACUCUGGAGAAGGGCACUGUUAUUAUUUAUGCAUCGCUUUGUUCAUCAGGAACAGGUUUGGGCUAUUAUUACAGCGAUGUCUAUCAGUGCCAGCGGAGGGGUGGGCCCUUAGCAUUGUUGUUCUGUUUUGACAGUGCCCACAGGUGGGUCGUCGCUACAAAUCAGCACGGAAGGCUCCAGAGAGCUUGUGUAGGCAGCUGGGUGUAACUGUAAGGGAAAGUAUCUAAUUGUGGAUUCAUCUGUGCGGUAUGUAAAUGACACCGAUAAUAAGGAGAGCAUUGUCUUCUUAAAUGAGCCACGGAGCAUCUCCAAUCUUCUUAUCAGAAGAUCUUGAAGCUCUUGACAAAAGCAGCGAUAAGUGCUCAGCAGCUGGCCCUCUCUUAAACUUCCAGCUGCCUUCCUAUUUUCUGUCCAGAGGUUUUCUGGGUAAGAAUUUGACUCCUUGGUCAAAGCAGAAUUUUGCUUUAAAUUUUGUGGGGAGAAUAGGGAAAAGAGGGGGUGUUUGUUAAUGCUAAGUAGCCUAGUCCAUAAAACAGUUUGGGGAGGAAGUUUUGGUUUGUGAUAACAGCGUGGAGAAUAAAUAAUUCUUUGUUAUAUUGGCUGUCAUUCCUGGUAAUAUUGUUCCCCAGAGAUGUACUCUGGUCUGAGGCCUUUCUCAGAUGCCCUGAUGAUUUGCUUUCUAUGGGUUACUUCCAUCUCUAGUUAGGAAGAGACUGGGAAGCUAACCUCUCAAAUGCACAGUUCUAUUUAUUCCUCAGAAUAACUGGCUGGCUGUGCUAAAUCAGUGCCACGCUACUCCUUGUCCACGCAGCUUAACCCAUUCCCCCUUGCACAUCCAAGGAUAUACCAGGAUUAUACCUACUUGCUUCGAAAGUUAUCCAUGGUGCUCAGGACCUUUGUCAGCUCCAACUCGAGAUUUUCCUGCUCAUAGUUGAGUGCCUUCAUCUCUUGAUUCAUUUUGCUCAUGUACUGAUCGUAGAUGGCCUUCAUGUCCGAUUCGGAGUGGGAGUUGUCUUGGUCCUUCAGGAAAUUCCACCGUGUCGUCAGGAUCUUGUUCUGUUGCUCUAGGCACUGGACCUGCCGAAGAAAUUUCAGAGCCUUCAGCAACACCAACAGCUGAUAGCAAAACUGACCGGGUGCCUCUGGUCUGGAGACCUCUGGCGUAGCUGCUGGACCUAGCUGAGAUCUCCAGGUGAGAAGGAGAAACCCCCUAAAGAACAGGCCUGGGACAUGCAGAGGUUUUACACGUUACGUGCUGCUUAAUUUCUUGAUAGGUCAUGCUCACAUCAAAGUGAAAGAGCAUCUCUCAUUAAGUCGCUGAAAAAUAACAAUUGUUCAGUGCUAAUCCCCUUUACCUCUGAAAGUACGAAAUAAAAUCUGAAAAUCCACUACUGAUCAUGCAUAGAUGUGUUGUAUAAUGGGAUUCUGAUUUUACUGCCUCAGAGUGGCACAAACUCAAAACAUCAGAAAAGAUAACUCCUUUCAGAUCUGUAGGAUUACACCACGGCAAAGCCUGAGCGGUGAAUCAGAGUCCUGGGUUGUAUUGCAAAGCAGCACGGACAAGAACUAUGGGAACUCUAGAGAGUGAGUGAAUAAUUAGGCUCCAUGUGAGGUCUCUGUGUGCCUGUCUGCUUGAGAGAGGAUACAUUGCAUUCUCAUCCACCCACUAUUCAAAUCUGUCACUCUUCUUUCCUAAUACUCACAAUCUGGACAGUAAUGCUCAGUGUUCAUCUUCAAAGCUCUUGACUAGCUUUAAUUAAUUAUUUAAUUGUUACUUCUCUGUCGCAUUGCUCUGUGAACAAAACCAAACUCCUUCAGUUGCAUUUUGGCUGGUGAUUUCUGAGCUGUCGGUUGCCUCCAGAAACCUUCUGUCAUGGAGAUGAUGCAAUGCUGAGAUAAGUGCAUCUGCGCUGCAAAGAAGCAGCUUCAGCGAUGCCUUGCGCGGCGAGAGCAGUGGAGCGCAGGAGGCUGUGUAACUUCUUGUGGUCACAAGCAGCAUCAGUGAAUUGAAGAGGCAGUUCCCUGCUGCUGAGCACUUCACAGAUGCACACGGUGAGAGACAGCAUCUUUCCCAAAGAGCUGCUUAUCUGAGCAGAGAGAGAAGCGGGAGCAUAGUGCAGCCAAACAAAGCAGUUCUCAGAUGUUUGCAGUCUGUUAUUAGCAGAAGGGGUAGGAGCUUUAAGAUCUGCCAGGUCUCGCUGUUAGAGACCUAAUCCUUUUUUUCCUGAUAACAUAGUACAUGUCUGUAGACAUCAAGUCGGUCGUCCAGUCUGGUGACUGUCUGCUCUGUCCUGGCUCUAAACCAGUGUCACAUUCUGUGUGCAUGCGUGAGGCUGCGUACCUGCAGGGUGAUGCUGUGGUGGAGCCAGAAAGGGGCAUUACAGGUGGCAUGAGGAAGUGGCCUCCGGGGCUACCUGUCAACAAUUGGGCCAUUUGUUCUCUCCAUCUGAGGCAUCUUAGGGAGUGCAAUAGGGCAUCCCUCAGAAGACUGUGGUCAGCAGGGCUGGGAUCAACCUGCGGGACUGGCUGUGAAGAACAACUUCUCAUUUUAAGGCAGCUUCCCCAUUUGCUACUAGAAUAGUAAAUGGUUGCAUUGGCUGCUGUCUCUCACUGACCCUCACAUCAAGUCUCAGUUCCUGACCGUGCUCCUAAUGGUUUGUUGCUCUUUUUCCCCCUUAACUUCUCAGUUUCUUUCCUGUUCUCAAGCCAUACCCAUCCGCUGGGCUGAACUGCUUUCAUCUUGGCUUCUCAUACAGCAUCCUUUCCUGCAAAGUCGUUUAAUGUGAGCUUUGCAGCAGAAUAAUCACCCAAAUCUGGCCUCAUAUCCUGGGAAGACCAUGACUGAACACAGAAGUGACCAAAGCGUAGUCCUUGGAGGCCUCUGCACCUGAGCUGCUCAGGGUAAAGGCAGGGCCUCAAACAGGGAUGUGGUUCCUUGGCUGUUCGUUGUCUUUCACCUGGACAUAUCUGGAGCAAAUGGAAAGGAAAUACUAGCAGAUCUGGAACAGCCUGCUGGAAGCCCAUCAGCAGCAAGCUCCUAAAGUUAUUGUUGUCAAUUACCUGAGGAAUUAGCCGCUCAGGCUUGAGACCAUCUGAAUUCCCGAUUAAAAAGACAAGUUCUCUGUGACAAGGAAGUGUCAUUACUUUCUUCUGGAAUGAGAGCCUGAGGCAGAUGGUUGAAGUUUACCACUUACGUGCCACUUGAAGCUGCAGCCUUCAAAGCUAAAUGCAGAAGCUGCAAGUGCUGAAGACAAAGCCGCCUAACUAAGGUGGAGUAUUUGUAUCUUCUGUCCAUCAGGCCCGUGCUUAUCGGCAGGCCACCAGCUUGGGCUUAUCGUGAAAUCUGGAGCCUCUGUCACUUCUUCCAUCUCUGUUUGCACGGAACAGGCUGGUGCCUGUGGUCUGGCUUACGUACGUAUUGUCACUGUGUGGUCUUGCCCCAUCUCCCCUGCUCCCAUCCUUUCUCCUGUGGUCUGGUUUCUGAGCAGGGCUGGCUGUAUGUGCACGCAUCCCUCUUGUUCUGGAUAGUCAGAGGACCAGGCCAGCAGCACAUGCAACAAAACCUAUCCAGGUGAUUUCCAAAGCAGUUGUUUUCCAGCUUUGCAUUGCCAAAAUCAGUGCUUAGAAAAGCAAAGACGCGGAGGCUGCCUUGCUCCUCCAUGCAGGGUCAGCCCCCUGGCACCACCACCCGCCUGUUUGCACAUGUGGGUGUGGUGGGUACGCAACUAUUCGGUUGGGAUAGAUGCUAUGGGAGAUGGUCCCCCCGCCCUUCUCCUUCCCAGUGUGAACUCAGGUCCUCUUAGAGGUAGACUUAAAGAAAAUAAUAAUAAAUAAAUAAAAUCCCAAGCUGUAGUAGCUUGGCAUUGAGAGCCUGUAUUGUAGACUGCAGUGAAGCAAUCCUCCUAGGAGAUUACCAUCUGUUUACAGAGCACCAGGGCUUUGCAGAAACCUGCCUCGGCUGGAUGAGUUGUUUUCCUUUGAGAAAAUCUUCUGCCUUCUCAUGGAUCUUAAGAGAUGAAAGCGACACUUUCUUGGCUGAGCGUGCAACCCCUCACGGUAAAAACCACAGAGGAGGGAGGUGUUGGGGGGGGUCUCCCUUGCCCGCUCUGCACCUCCAGGGGUGAAUUUCCAGCUGUCUUUCAGCAGCCAGAGAAGAACUGGAGCGGCCACCUCAGGCAGCGUCACUGCUCGUGGGUGUUUGUCCACCACAGGAGCCCAAGGCCUGCCCUGUCCGGCACCGUGCCUCCACCACCCUGCUGUGCUCAGGGAGGGCCAGGUCCCCGAUGGCAGAGGUCACCCAGGGGGUGACAGGCACAGCGAAGGAGACACACAGGCCACCCGCUGCUGCUGACCACAGAUGUGGCCCAGCUUUACCUAGGGAUGAUGCUAGCCCUUGUCAAAAGAGAUAGCACCGAAGGAAUAACUAAUUGGGUAAUUAGCCUGAUAUUCAGAGCCUGGCAGUGGUUAGCUGAAGGCCUCCAGAAGUCCCCUGCCAGACUGGUUAGCGUUCGCUUCCCCGCCACCAUCCUCAUCCCCACACUGCGCCGUGUCCUCAGCAGCUCGCCUUACCUUCUCGAUUAGGGUCACAAACUGGUUGUUGAGCAGCUUGAUGUCCUCCGUCUCCUGCUGCCGCAUGGCUUGGAAGUCGGUGUCGAUAUCAAGGUGCACGGGAGCCAGGAGCCUCCCGUCGAUGGAGAAGUAAGAGGAGCUCUGGUAUCCGCCAUCUCCGUGGAGGCUGAGGGAGCUGUAGCCAUUGCUGGCCACGCCGUUGGGGCUGCAGCGGCCCAGGCGAUCUGGGGACGUGCUGGCUGCUUUUCCUCUGCUCAUCUUCCCUGACACCUCCCAGGAGGAGAGGGAGCCACUAGUGAAGGCUUUGCAAGGGUUAGUCAUGCUCAGCUUGUGGCUCUGCAGCUCUAGGGGAGGAGAAGGGAGGGAAGGGAGAGAAAAAAAAAAAAAGAGAUGAAGUUUUCUUGCUGCUGCUGCCUCAAAGGGAAGGAGAGUAGUGGCACGCUGAGGAGCUUGGUCGGCUAAUUCCUGUCUCCUCAGCUCGUGGGUUGGCUAAUAAAUUACAAGCACCUGUUCUCCUAUGUUCAUUAAACGGAGGAGGGUGUAACCGUUGAUGUAAUCCAGAUCAACCUGUUGGCUUCUCUUUUUUUUUUUUUUUCCUCCUCUCUCUGUACCCUCCUUUCUUCAGGAGCUUGUUUGUGUGGUGAGGGCAUAGGCACUCGCAGCAAAAACAAAUCACUCACAGGUAAUUCGCCGGGCCCCAAGCGGCUGCUUUCCUCAUCCUUAAAUGGUGAAGAAAGCAGCCAAAGGAGCUGGGCUGCUGCAGGCUCGGGGAGGACGGCUCCGAGCCUGGCUGCUGCCGUCGUGCUUGGCGCACGGAGCCCGGGUUCAGCCCAUGGCUGGUCUCCAGCCAAAGGGAUUGUGAUUUUUUUGGGAGUGGGGAGUGUUUGGCUGAGGAAAUCGUAAAGCAGGAGUCAGAAUUUGCUCAGGGUAGGAGUUUGGAAACGUGUCUCAAGCUCGUCAUAAUUACACUUGCUCAUGGUCUUCCGUUGACCACGCAGGUGCAUCACGCAAGCCUCUGAUGGUCUGAGUGCUUGAGGGAUGUUGGGUCUGGUCUGGAGACCCCUUGGGUGGGCCAAGAGUCCUUGGGGUCAUUUGGUCAGCUGGCCUGGCAGCAACAGGGGCCUUCAGAAGCACCAGGCUGGAUCUCAGAAGUGCCCAUGUCCCUCUUUGACACCUGCCUUUCCCCUCCCCAAAAGCUGUGUAAAAGCUAACUUUGGGAGACACCAAAAACCACUGUCUUUUAAUAAAUUCUAGCCUGCUGAGGUGGCACGCCCUUAAAUACUUGUUUGGACCUAGGCAUAAACCAACGUUGGACACGGCUCUCUUGAAAGCUUUUUCCUGCUUUAGCUCAGUUUCUCAUGUGAAAAAGCAGGACAGAAGAACACCCACUUCUGCCUCCUUAGCUUGAUUAGCAUCGCAGCGUUCUCAGGAAAGGGGAUGGUCUUCUCUGCCCCAAAUCUGCAAUUUCCAUUUUGUGGGAAAGCUGCUGUUUUUUACGGACUGCUUCUGCCCCACGUUGGAAGGCACACUGGGAAUUUCCCUGCUGAAUGAAGGGGGAGAAAGCUUGGGUCUGUCACAGACCUGCUCCAAUAAGGAAUGUGUCUCAUGAUAGUAGGGGUUUCUGGCUUUAAAAGAGCUUCCCAGGGAAGCUGACCCAUCCUGGUGGGGUUAUCCUUUUCUUCAAGUGUAGUUUCAGUGUUUUGCCAAGAGCAGCGUGCUUUCCCAACGGCACGUCCAUCUCGCCUCACGUGUUUCCUGUGAUAAUCCAUCUGAAUACCGAGUCCCUCGCUCAAUGGAUCAGUGUCAGAUUUUCCAGCUUAAUCCUGAUGCUUUAUUUUGAGGAUUAAACCAAAAUAUAUGGUUGAGAGAUGACAAAGCUCAUGGCUCUCGCAAGGUGAGGUGAGAUUAUCUCAUCGUGGGCUGCUCGUUUGUGGCUUUGUGGUUGCAGGCACAUCAGUGCUGCUGAUUAGCAUCAGGUCACGGAGCCACGUGGCAGGUUUUUUGCUUCAUCUUGUACCGAGGGCAGUUGUGAUGGCUCCCUAGGAAUGAUCCCUCCAAGGGAAGGAGAUAGAGGUGAAAUUAAGCUAGUUCAAUUUAAUAGCAGCUGCGAGCUGUGUUCUGCACGGAGCUAGGCUGGGUGCUAGCACGAUGGUGUUUUGCAAUAUCCCAGGGAGUGCUGCUGCAGAGAAAGCGCUGCUGGUCACUGCGUUGGCAACCACAUCUCCCUGAGCAUCAGUCCCCACUCCUUUCUCCUGCAAGCUUCGAUCCUUUGUCUCCCCAUUAUCUUUUCCUUGAAAUGAAACUUCUAACGCUGGCUCCAGCCUGUAAGAACACCCAGUCUGGCUGAAAUAGCAUCGUGCAGUGCAGAAUGUCAGGGUUUAAAACAAGAACAAAUGUUUGUCCAGAUCUAGUUGUAGCAUUCUGGUUUUGGAGUCCUGGGUCCUGUAUAGGAUCACGUUCUAUAUCCCGUGUCCUCUCUGCUAGGUGCUGCUCAGGUGCUGGGGAGGGAGGCAGGAUCACUCUGCCACGGAAAGAUGCUGGAGGAAGAUGGCUGAGGAUUAAAGCUCCCUUUCAUGCUUGGGAAAGGCAGGAUGAAAAGCUAUUUUCCAGGGGUAGCAAUGGGACCUCUCUGCUCUGAGAUGAGCAAGGUUUUUCAAAGCUCUGUCUCCUUCCAGGAGGACGGGUAUAAUUUGCUGUAACCCUCUAAGGAAAGUGUGUGCAAGUGGUCAUCUGCUGGCAGGUGAUGUGAGGAUAUGUGGGAAGAGCUUGCAAAGAGAGGAUUAUCUUGCUUCCUAACCUCUCCUUUCUAGGCACCAAGCUGAAGCUCCUGUGGUCCCACCUGCUAGGCAGUGGGGUGAGAUGGGGACCCAAACUUGCCCCUUUAGGGAAGAGAGUGCUGCUGCUGCUGGGUCCUAGGGAACCUUAAUUUGUGAGAGCAUUACUCCUCGGCAGUGCUCCAACAGCCUGACCUGAUCCUGAGAUUGAUGCUGCUCUUUGGUCUUUUAGGCGCACUUAAACGUGGAAACCUGUGACCCUGUUCCAGGGAUGGAGAAGGGAGGGCUGCUUCACACGGUGUGCAGCCAAAGCCUCGCUGCGUGUUUCUCUCCCUUGCUGUCUUCCCUGCCCUGUGGGAGAGGCAGUGCUGAGUCAGGGUGUUUUUUUCUCUUCCUGCUGAUGUUCUCGAUGCUCCUCCUCAGCCAGGUAUUUGGUUCAAUUUGGAAAUGGCUGUUCUCCAAAAUCUGGCUUUGAAAUUUGGUGCCAGCCGUGUUGACUGCCCAGCAAAACGAGCUGAAAAAAGGAUCUGAAUCUGGAUGAUCUUCAGAGGUCCCUUCCAACCACAACAUUCUGUGAUUCUGUGAACAGGAGGGGUGGAGGUGUGAUGAAGAUGAGGUGGAGAACAUGAUGAAGGGUUCAGCCACCUCCAGCCUGUGUCCUGCCCGUGUCUGUGCAGCCUGGUCUGGCUUGAUCCUUCAGAUGAAGGAGCUACCACCCAAAGAUGCUGAGUGACCUGAGGGUCUCCCGUUUUGGAGAUGUUUUUGCAGCAAGGCAACGCAUUGCUUCAAGCUUGCAGUGUGGUUGUUCGGUAGGUUGAGGUCUGGGGGUGGGCACGGGGCAGCUGAAGCCACCACGGGGUCACUUAUAGGUGGUUAAGCCUCUGUGCAAACAAACCUGGAGCCUUGUCACCUUUCCCUUGGUACAUGGAGAUUUAUCCCAGCCAUCUGGCAAAGCACCUUGUAGGGCUAUUGGCUCAAUGUAUGUAUGCUUAGUAAAAUAAUUUAUCUAUCGAGAUUCCAUAAGUAAUUGCUGUUUAUUAAGUAUGGGUAACGUAUGAAGCAUGAACGGCGAAUCAGCAUUUGCCCCAAGGAAUCAGAAUGAUUAAGGUUAAGCAAGACAGAGACAGGGCUAAGGGGUGCAGAGAGCCACGGAGGUAAUGAGUGGGUCAGCAGGACUUGUUUAAGCCUUGUCAGGCACGCGAGGAGCGUCUGGAGUGGGAGCUGUGUGUGGCGGGGCAAGUGACACAUCGCAGGGGAAUGGCUGAUAGCGUGGCCACAGGGAGGACAAGGCAGAGCAGCUGCAGGUUCCUGGUUCCAGAGAGCUCAGUUUGGUCCCCAAAGCUUCAGGUUUAAAACCAAAAAAGAACCAGAAGAAAGCCCCUGAUUGCUUUUGUUAAAUUGGCUGCUGGCUCAUCCCGUGAUAGCGAAGGCAUUUACCUGCUCGUAGGCUGGAGACGGGUUCUGGAGACAGCCGUGGGGCUGCAGGCCAGCAGAGCUGGGUUUGUGGCGAGGGGCUUUGAUCGCAGAGACGCCUUAGUUCAGCUGUUUCUCAGCCCGGCUCCACGGUGCCUGGUGGAGAAGGGAAGGUGCCGGCCUGGGCUGGAGGCACGGCCAGAGCAGCGCUGUGGCAGGAGAGCUGGGGACAUGCCAGUGACCACAGGGCUGCGUGCUAAUUUGGGCCCACGUGUGGUUUGCCAUUGCUUUCCUUGUCUGCUGCUGCCCAGCCCUGGGGGGACGGUGCUGGGCACCGAGGGAAGCGCUGCAGCUGCCUUACCCAUACUGGAUGGGGACAGCACGGCUGGGCAGGGAGCUGCACCCCAGCUCUGCGGCUUUGGGGAUGUUGCUGGGGGGGCUGCCUGGGGAUUGCUCUCCAGCUUUCCCCAGCUCCGCUUCAUCCUUGCUUUGUCCCUCUGUUUUCUUUUCAUGCCCAUCCAAACUUCUAGUGUCACGUUUUCAUCCUUUCCUCCUCCUUUUGUUCCUUUAUGUGCCUGCCCAAACCCAUCCACAGCCCCUUCCUCCUUCCAGCCUGCUGCCCCCUCCCCUCCUCUCGGAUUUCUGGGUGCAACAUCAAGCAGCUCAAACUGCCAUCUAAAUCACUUCCCCAAAACAGACGUCACUUGCAAAGAAUUUAUAGAAGGGCUUGGAAGGCAGGACAGGACAUGCCCACAUCUGCUUCGCGCUCAGGUUUCCAACCCAUCUGCUGCACUUUUGCUCAUGUAGUUUCCAGGAAAUGUCAAGUUUUGAAAGAAGAAGAAAAAAAAAAAAGUCAGGCUAAUUAAGUGGUGGUGACAUCACUCGUUUCUGCUGCGGUGCCACAGCCUCUUCCCUCCCCGCUGUGCAGAGCGGCUGGGUGAUACCGUCCGUGCCUAGGGCUCUGCCCUGGGCAACUGCAUCCCAUCAUCUCCAGAAUAAAGGGACAUGGCUUCAUCUCAGAAACCGCUGCUUUCUCUGUUGGCUGAAGGCUGUUCCAGAGUCUGAAUCUCUGGGUGUCCUCAGCCGUCCAUCGCCACCGGUCCCAGUGCCAACCAGUGGGAUCUUAGAGCCCACUCUUUAUUUAGAGCUGUGUUGGAGCCUGGCUCCUUUCUACUAACCUGUUCUGUUACUUUGGCAAAUGGCUUUUCCUUUCUCCUUGUCCCUGCUUGUAAAAAAGGCAUAAAUGAGACAGAGUGUGAGGAUUUACUGCUUAGUGUUUCUCAAUCCACACUUGGGCAAAUGACUUCAUUCCUUUUAGACAGCACCCAGUAUCCACCACUCCGAUUACAAUCUGGCUCUGUGCUCUUGUGUCACUUUUAAUUAGGCAUUUUGUUUCUGCAUUGUGUGUCAUUCUCACAUGGUUUGCAGCAUAAAUAAUGAUGCAUUGUGUUUCAGUGGGUACUGCGAGCCUUUAGCUCUUAAUGAGGUUGCAUGGAUAUUUAUGAAGCCGUGUACCUGUUUUGCAACAUGCAGGUUGCAAGGCUAAAACACACUGGGAUCUCUCUGUGGAGAGAGAAAAGACCUGAAAUACCAAAGUGAUGCUUGGUAGGUGGGCAUCUGCCUUGGGAAUUGCAGAAACCUGUAAUUUUGCCCCAAGGUGGGGGUUGUUGGCUACGAUUGGAGCAAGCCCAGCCUGCAGCAGCUCCUCUCUUAAAAUCAGCGUUGCAGAAGUAAGUCCAGAAAUGUAAAGGAAGACAAAAAAAAACCCUGAUGAGGUCAUAUGAGGCAAUGUGUCUUUGGGGGUGUCUUGUCUCUCUGUGAGGACUGGGGCUCCUGCUACUUGUGUCCUCAGGUGGAAGAAGUGGGAAGAGAAGGGGACGGUGUCACUGCUUGGUGAGGCAGCUUUGGUAGCACAGACUGGGAACAAGGAGAUGUGGGACCCCCAGAAGGCUGGGUGGGAGGUGCUUAAGCUGCCUUCUCCAGCACCUCCAUGCCCCUCACUUGCAAUUGCUUUGUGCCUGCUCUUUUCAGAGGCCACGUGCCCAAACCAUCAGGCCAUAGGUCUGUAUUUACCUUUUUUUUCCAGCUGCUUACGUUGACUGCAUCUCAGUGUCCCUUACUUCCCACCUUGUGCCACCAACACCUUUCUGGAACGAAGGCAAAGAAGUCACCCAGCCGUGCCCACACCUUACCACAGCUCUCCUCGGGGCGCGUUGUCGUGCUGCACGCUUUGUAAGUGAUGCAACCCAAGGCUCCUCAGCAUGGGCAGAGAGCAUGGCACGGCAGCUCCUGGUCACUGCUUGCUGGGCUGCAGAGGGGCAGUUGCUGCGUGCGUGGUUUCGGUGCUGUUACCUUUGGGUCCAGCUGGCUCCUGGACCUUCCUCCUCGCAGCUCAGCGUGCGGUCGGGAGCUGCUUGCUGUCCCGACAUGUCUGCAAGGGAAGCUUUGGCACCAAAUGGCGUGCCCUGUAGCGUAGCUCAGCGGGUUCGUACUACGCACGCCACUCAGGCACGGGCCCAAGUCAGCACCUUGAGGCAGAGAGAGGAAUCGCCCGCUCCUCUCGCUCCGGCUUGGCUUUGGAGGGCAGUUACGGGGUGGUACGGCGGGGGCUGUGUGUGCACGUGCAAAGGCCCCGUGCAUCGGCACGUGCACGCGUGUGUCGGGCUCAGGCCGGUGCUAAGCCCAGGAGGAAGCCUUGUAAUCCUUGUUAAAUCUGGUACCUGAUCUGAUUCACCCUGAUUUUAAUUCCUGGGGUCAAAUUCUACGCGACUGAUUCAUGCCUGGUGCAUGCAGUAAACUGGGAGCUCGGUCCUGCCUUGAAUGGCCCUUAAAAAGCUUUUCUAUAGAAAACAGAAAAAAAUAGAAAAAAGCUUUUCUAUAGAAAAGCGAGGUAGAGCUCUAUGCAACCCUCUCGCUGCAGCCAAAGGGCCUUGUGUGGGAACAAAGCAUCCUCAGCAUCAUGGAGAGCUGCUCUCGGUCCUAGCGCAAGCAGGGCUGUUUUGCUGUUUCGCCUUUUCUCCCAUUUCUGCCAAACCUCCCUCCUCCCUCGCUGUCCUCACGUAACGUGGAAGCCUGCCCCAGGCUGAGCUGGUGGCUGGGGGGUGGUUUUGGGGUUGGUGUCGGGAGGAGCCCAGCUGGGUGCUGGGGCUGGAGGAGGUUUCUGCGAGCAGCCGGCGUGGCCCUGGGUAGCCCCAGCUCCACGCAGCGCCGGGGAUCAUCCCUCCCCUCCCACAUACCUGGAAAGGCUCCCUCGGGUGAGAUCACCCAGCGAUGACAACAAUAAUUAGAUGUAAAAUUUAUUGAUUAUGGCAAUACCUGACACAGACCUGCCACACCCUCUGCUGCCAUCAGCAGCCAGGGCUUGGCUCCCCGGCAGGUCCAAGGCUGCAGUCUUGCCCUUUGCUCUUACUGUAAAACCUGAUACCAGGCCCUUAGCUAGGAAAGGACGGGAGGAAAAGGGGCUUUGCAGCUUCCUUUUUGGCUUUCAUUUGAAGCCAUCAGGUUUGUUAUAUUUGGGUUAAAAGCGCUGGAAAGUUUUCAUUAGACUUUUUGCUGGCCGAGGUAUAAAUACGGCGAUAAAACACGGGGGCAGCGUGGCAGCAGGCAGCUGGGAAGUACUGGAGCUCAAAUCAUGGGGAGGGAAGAAAACAGAAGAUGUUUUACAGUCCUGAGACAAAGCACUUACCUCCCCCUGAGAGCUGAAAUGGCCCCUCUGGAGGCAAAGGUUAUCAUUUCAUCUUCAUGAUUAUAGCUGUAAUAAAAUACUCAUAACGAAUUAAUCAUUUGAAUAUUAUUUACCUUUCUUUUCAGCCGUGACUCAUCCAUGGGGACAUCCUACCCCUCCCUGGCCUUAUCCCCUUGCCUUUGGUGACUUGUUUCUGCUCCUCAGCCUUUCACAAAACCAUUUGGGCUUUUGCAGGCUGGGCUGCAACUUCCAUUUUUGUGCACCGAGCGCAUAAAAUGCCUGCAGGUCCUCGUGGGAAACGUCCCCGCUGCGGAUGGCCCCAGUGCUUGGCCAGGAGAAGCUGCCUCUGGUGGAACAAACCACCUCUGUAGCAGGAGAGCAGCCUGCACCAAAUCUGCUGGGGUUUUUGCGAUCUAACGUGCCGAGGAUUCAAAUAAAUAUUGACAGCCGCUCAUCUGCUAAGGCGUACCUAUGUGCUCAGGGAGCGGAGCGAGGCAAUUUGGGUUUUAUUCCUGCCUCUCCCACGGACUUCCUGUCUGCAGGACAGUUUAUCUAAAACACUGCGUACGGCUCCGUGUUGUUCUUUGUUGUUUUUCUUCCUUAGGAGCCCGUAUUGGGCAACAGAUCUGUUUGGACAGCUUUGAUUUUGCGAAAGAUCUUGGAAUUUGUAAUUGGGGCCAGAGGCUGCAGAGCAGCUUUGUUCCCGCGUAGUCACCGGGGUGAAGAUGGUUGUUUGUAUUGUGGGAGCUAUUAAGACACCCAGUUGUCGUCCCUAAUGAGGCUGUGCCGAGGGCUGUACAAACAAGGCUGAUUGAGGAUGGCUGUCAUGUUGGGAGCUUCGUAUUUUGGGAGAAGUCAGUCCUUAAUCCUUCCUGACCAUGGAGACGCAGCAUCAGUUGGUGUAAGCCGGCGUUGUGCCGCUGGCUCUGCCCGAGCUGUGUCAGACGAGGCAAAAUUUUGAUAAGAGCAUUUCUUCCUGAUGACUGUGCAGGACCAUUUCUCUCCUUCCCUGCUCCAUUCUCUUUGCUCAGGUUACGAUGGCGUCAGCCUUGAACCGAGGCGUGCAUCAGGCCCGCAGCCUCCUGUAGCCGUGCAGGGUACCUGUGCUCCUGGUCCCGCUCCGAACGGCAUCUGUUAGUUUGCAAUUGAGUUAAUUAAACAGGAACAGGGGAAGAUCUCACACCAUGUGCAAUCUCAUUGCCACGGGCUGUAGCAAGCAGGGGGAACGGGGAGAAAAAUCCCUCACCAGCAGCUCAACGUGCCGGUCAAGGUGCAGCCUCCAUGGGAAGGGUUAAACAGCUGAGGGAUGGCUGGAGGCUGAAGAAGCGUGGCCAGAGGAAGGACCACUAUAUAAUUACCCUGUGCUUUUGUGCUGGCCAGCGUGUAUUGCUUGAGAUGGAUGGACUCUGCUCUGCCCCAGCGUGCCCGCUCUGUGCCGUGUGUGUACCUGCAGAGGUGGGAUCAGACCAGCUGCUAGCAGCUGGAACCGACCAACAGAUGCACCAGGCCAGGCUCAAAAUGUUGCUCUGUGUCAUCCUGUGGGGACAAAACCUGGAUUUUCCAUUCUAUUCUGAGACACCGUUUCCAGAAAAGCAGAGCCCAGCAUUGGCCAGGACUGGCAGUUUCACCUUGGCUCUGAGAAUUGCAGUAUUUUUGUUUGUUUGUUUGUUUUCCUCAAGGCUUUAGCUGCAGGAGUGACUCUUGACUUUCAUGUAAAAAUUAUCCAUGUAAUUAUGAUUAUACAUAAUUAUAGCUAUAUUUAUAGUUAUUCCUUCAUGAUUUCUUGUAAUCAUCAGAUCUUGUAAUUUGGGGGAGAGGGGAAAAAAACCAAAACUGCUUUAAAUGCAUGGAAAGGAGGCUGGAGAGGGGAGAAAGUCCAUAGCUUGAAUGCCUCCCCCGUGCG
Molecule: non-coding RNA, 19482 nt
Organism: Anas platyrhynchos (mallard)
Lineage: Eukaryota; Metazoa; Chordata; Aves; Anseriformes; Anatidae
Source: RefSeq, a predicted model, not a curated record